CUGUCUUUACACCCUUUUUCAUUCUUCUCUCAGGGUAAUGCCAUUUUGGACCUCCACGCUUAGGCACGCUUUUUCCUUCUUCUCUCAAGUGCCAAAACUGAAGCAGAUGAUUUGGCGCAACUUUGGGAGGAGAUGGCAAUGGCUUUGGAAUCUUCCUAAUCUUGGGAUGUGGUUGAACAGCCAGCUCAGAUGGAAAAAGAACCGGGUGAGUAUAUUUUUAUCUUAAAAGAUGACAUCGACUAUGUAUGUCGAGUAUGUGACUAUAUAGGCCAAUCAAUUGACACCAUCAUUGAGGUAAUGAGAAUUCCCACCCAUUACACCCUAUAUUUUGGUUGGAGUAAACAAUCAAAUAUAUAUAUUCCUAGA
This is a long non-coding RNA of Pistacia vera, 366 nucleotides long. RefSeq lists it as uncharacterized. The record is from RefSeq and is a predicted model, not a curated record. NCBI's taxonomy places the organism in Eukaryota, Viridiplantae, Streptophyta, Magnoliopsida, Sapindales, Anacardiaceae. The transcript has 3 exons.